AAGGUGCUUUCUAUUUGGAAAAUAUUUAAAAGUAGAUACCAAAUAGGUGAUGUUGAGUCCUACUCUCUACUGGAUGGAUAAAGAGUGGCUGCCCAGCGGGCAAAACUGGUUCCAUUGGCUAAACAUCUUUUUAGCAACCAUAAAAUAUAUCUUAAUCUGAUUGUAAUCUAGCUAUACGACAAGAUAACAACCCCAAAAUGUAUUUCCAAUCACGUGUUGAUGUCGUCUUUAUCUGGUUGUAAUCUGGUUAUAUGAAGUCCCCUCUACUAUACCAGAAAGCCAGUUUACAACCAAAAAAAUUAAGUUAUUAUGACGUCAGGUGUCAAAUUUUGUCUGCUGGGUGAGGUGUUGCUCCGUUGAAUCAAAGAUGACGGCCUUCACAAUGUGCCACGCCAGUGAGUGAAUUUGUAGGAUAAAUGCUAUCUCAGUGAGAUAGGAUGAGGUGGAGAAUGUUGGUGAAAAGGGGGAAUAAUGUUCGAAGCAUAAUUGAUGUGGCUGUUAAAGUAAAAUGAGGUGAGGUAAAACACAAAAAGACAACAUGGACGACAUGACAGAAAAAUGCAUUUGAACGAGAUGGUGGGAUAAAAAUCAAAAUGAGUAAGGAACAAUGAAACUGGUUGUCUACAUCCCCCUGAUGAUGUGGUGUAUUUUGGAUUGGCUUGUUAUCAAGUAAAUACUUAAAAGGUCUAGAGCAGCAUGUCUCUUGUCCUUUAUCAUUGAAAAAUUAGCUUCUUAGCUUCUUUUGGUUUACCUCUAAAGAUGAACCCCUAAUAAGCACUGUAGCUUAGAUAGAGAAGAAAGAGGAUGACUCUGAAUGUCGUCUUAGACCGCCCAUGCCACACUGGCUUUCUGCUAUCCAUGAGGGAUGGCCUGAUGGAAGAGUACCUAUUAAUAACCAGCGGGUUAUCUUUAGGUCCUCAGCCCACUGAAGCCAAAGACCUACUGGGAAAGGGUCACGGGGUGGCAGGGGGUGGAAGGGAUGAGACAACAUGCAAGAGCAAUCUGCAGUGCAACCACUGAAAAUAUAUGAGAGUUUGAUCCUUUCAGACCAAUGAAAAAGAAAGAGGCAUUCUUGGGUUUCUGUAAAAGUAUUUAAAAUGCCUUCAGACCGGCCUACCUUUGAGAGCGUUUUUUUUUCCUUCUUAAUAUCGGCUAGGCAGGGUGUGACUAUUACGGAGAUCUGUGAAUCUGGCUGAAAAUUCUGACGGAAACAUCUGUCAACAUGCAGACAGGAAAUAAUCCAGGCAGGGUGUGACUAUUACGGAGAUCUGUGAAUCUGGCUGAAAAUUCUGACGGAAACAUCUGUCAACAUGCAGACAGGGUGUUGUACAGUCAGUCAAUCACAUUGGAAAUGUACCUUUUCCUCCCAUUCCUGGCCGGCUUCAGAGAUCCAUCAUCCAAGAAAUUUACAGGACCGGUCCAAUUUCCUGUCUCGUCUCCUUUGAGUCGGCUAAACAGUUGCGCAC
Oncorhynchus keta (chum salmon) is the source of this 1466-nucleotide long non-coding RNA. RefSeq lists it as uncharacterized. The record is from RefSeq and is a predicted model, not a curated record. The transcript has 3 exons. Lineage: Eukaryota; Metazoa; Chordata; Actinopteri; Salmoniformes; Salmonidae.